AACUAAUGACAAAUUCGUAAAUAUUAUGUUGGGUGUUUAAUUAAAUGGAUUGAGAAGCAAUGUGAGAACGACAUGUCAGCGUGACAUUUUCCUUAAUGAUACAUAAAAGUAUGGUUAUUUU
Molecule: small RNA, 121 nt
Filed under: Arabidopsis thaliana (thale cress)
Lineage: Eukaryota; Viridiplantae; Streptophyta; Magnoliopsida; Brassicales; Brassicaceae
Description: ATSL252410
Source: RNAcentral